Molecule: ribosomal RNA, 820 nt
Filed under: Vagococcus sp. AP8Oc
Lineage: Bacteria; Bacillati; Bacillota; Bacilli; Lactobacillales; Enterococcaceae
Description: bacterial SSU rRNA
Rfam family: Bacterial small subunit ribosomal RNA
Source: RNAcentral
GCAAGUCGAACGCUUUGAUUUUCACCGGAGCUUGCUCCACCGAAAAUCAAAGAGUGGCGGACGGGUGAGUAACACGUGGGCAACCUGCCCAACAGAGGGGGAUAACACUUGGAAACAGGUGCUAAUACCGCAUAAUGUUGUUUUCCCGCAUGGGAGAAUAAUAAAAGACGCUUCGGUGUCACUGUUGGAUGGGCCCGCGCUGCAUUAGUUAGUUGGUGGGGUAAUGGCGCUACCAAGACCGUGAUGCAUGAGCCGACCUGAGAGGGUGAUCGGCCACACUGGGACUGAGACACGGCCCAGACUCCUACGGGAGGCAGCAGUAGGGAAUCUUCGGCAAUGGACGAAAGUCUGACCGAGCAACGCCGCGUGAGUGAAGAAGGUUUUCGGAUCGUAAAACUCUGUUGUUAGAGAAGCAAGUGGGAGAGUAACUGUUCCCACCUUGACGGUAUCUAACCAGAGAAGCCACGGCUAACUACGUGCGGCACCGCGGUAAGCGUAGCGGCAAGCGUUGUCGGAUUUAUGGGGUAAGCGAGCGCAGCGUUUCUUAAGCUGAUGUGAAAGCCCUCGGCUCACCGAGGAAGGUCAUUGGAAACUGGGGAACUUGAAGCAGAAGGAGGUGGAUUCCAUGUGUAGCGGUAAUGCGUAGAUAUAUGGAGGAACACCAGUGGCGAAGGCGACUCUCUGGUCUGUAAUUGACGCUGAGGCUCGAAAGCGUGGGGAGCAAACAGGAUUACAUACCCUGGUAGUCCACGCCGUAGACGAUGAGGGCUAACUGUUGGAGGGUUUCCGCCCUUCAGUGCUGCAGUUAACGCGAAUAAUC